This is a long non-coding RNA of Solanum pennellii, 729 nucleotides long. RefSeq lists it as uncharacterized. Lineage: Eukaryota; Viridiplantae; Streptophyta; Magnoliopsida; Solanales; Solanaceae. The transcript is spliced from 3 exons. The record is from RefSeq and is a predicted model, not a curated record.
AAAAAAUUAAUUAAUUAAACUUACCUUGACAUGUAAAAGUUAAUCCCAUUUUUCUUGUUUCAAAAUUUUCAGCUAAUUCCCCAAUUUCACGCUAUUCUCCUCAAAAUUGCCAGAUUAUUCAUCAAAUAUAUUGAUUAUUAAGGAUGCAAAUUUUUGGAUUUCUGGAAAAUUUCGUAUUGUUAUGCAAUGGCUGACUCGGUCAGGUUUACUAGAGAUAUACACAACAAUAUAAAUUUAUCGGAAUUUCCUUCAUUUGAUUUGUGCAUUACUCAAGAAUCGAUCGAAAAUGUAGGUUCUGUGGGUAGAAUGGCACAAGAGUCUAAAAUGGCUCGAGAGAGCUCUUCCAAAAAAAGGAAAGUGUUGUGUCUGAAACCCCUGAUGAUCAAGGAGAAGAUCGAUGUAUGAAGUAUUACUUUUUGACGAUGAAGAGAUAAAGUAUUCCAGCGGAUAUUUUGGAUACAUCAUGUCUACGGUCAAGCUACUCUACACUUCUUUGAAAUUAUGGCCAACAAAAAAAUGAUGUCGGAGCAAUAAGUGAUAAUGAAGCACCUCCACGACAUAGCAGAAUUAAUGUAUCACUAGAGGAUAUUGAUACAAUCCAAAUAGAUUAGUCGCUGUCUAUUUUUUGGUGUGUCAAUACACAUUAGUUUUUGUAUUACUAUGAAACGAUUUUAACGGGUUUCAGAUAUUGUUUUUAUUAAUGUAGAAAAUAUUGAAAUUCUGGUUAAA